Molecule: long non-coding RNA, 1053 nt
Organism: Oreochromis aureus
Lineage: Eukaryota; Metazoa; Chordata; Actinopteri; Cichliformes; Cichlidae
Source: Ensembl
CUGGUGGCUUCAGCAGGCCACUGCUUUGUGAAAAAGAAAGAAAAAAAACAAACAAACAAAAAAAACCCCAACACAUUAAAAGGUUCAACACAAACUGUUGCCGUAAAGUUGGAGCCGCACCGUUGUGCAAGACAUCACUUUAUCUUUCGCAUUUACCGGAAGCACAGCUUCAAACCUUAAGUUUAAUGCAGCAUUUCUGAAUUUCACUCUCACACACCUGCCUGUCAGGUGAAGCAGCUAUCACGUCACUUAAAUGCACGUGCGUGAACACCCACGCAGACUCCAAGUACGAUCACAGUGCACGCGGACUCCAAAGAGGAAAAUGCACGAGAGUCGUUUGCGUAAAUGGCGUAGAUGUGCAGCGCUUUGCAUGUGCAGUGGGCUGAUAACAGACUGUUGGUCUGGAGGCUGCAGACACUUUGCUCCUCAGCAGAUCCUCCAGCAGCCCUGCGCCGGGGCUAUGACUCAUACCGCCUGCCUGCUACCGAUGCUGGACACGACAAGUAACACGCACCGAACACCAACAAGCAAACAAACAAACUCAGAUCCUCCUCUCAGGUGUCUGCUGCUGCCUGGCCAGUUCGUCUCCUCCUCCUCCUCCGAGACGUCGCAUCGCUCCCACAGUCCUGUUCGAGGGCUAAAUCCGGGCAGAGAUCAGCAGCCUGCCCGGAGCGCAGCGUGAUGUCCCAGCGGGCUGUUUGUUGGAGCUACAGGCUGGGGACAGCUCGAGAGUACCUCUGAGAGUCCUGCGAGUCUGAUGGAUGUCGCACGGCUUCCUUUAGGGUGGAGAAUAGACGAUCGAGCUGCUUUCAGGGACUCUCUGUAACCUCUGAUUUUUCAUACUUUGGCUAAGACGUGCAUCGAUGUGCCCAUACUGUGACUAAAUAUCAAAAAAAAUUUGUUUUGAUAUUACUAUGUGAUAUGUUCUAUAUAACAAGCACAGGUUAUUGGUAGAACACUCAAUAAUAAAAAUACAACAUACUGGUUUCAUAAUAUGGAAUGCCAUUUAUGCCAAUAAUAUUAAAGACAUAAAUACACAAUAAAUGUUAGGCA